GGGGGUAUAGCUUAAGUGGUAGAGCACAUGCUUAGCAUGCACAGGAUCCUGGGUUCAGUCCCCAGCACCUCCU
Molecule: transfer RNA, 73 nt
Filed under: Camelus bactrianus (Bactrian camel)
Lineage: Eukaryota; Metazoa; Chordata; Mammalia; Artiodactyla; Camelidae
Also listed under: 1 other name
Rfam family: tRNA
About the family: Transfer RNA (tRNA) molecules are approximately 80 nucleotides in length. Their secondary structure includes four short double-helical elements and three loops (D, anti-codon, and T loops). Further hydrogen bonds mediate the characteristic L-shaped molecular structure. tRNAs have two regions of fundamental functional importance: the anti-codon, which is responsible for specific mRNA codon recognition, and the 3' end, to which the tRNAs corresponding amino acid is attached (by aminoacyl-tRNA synthetases). tRNAs cope with the degeneracy of the genetic code in two manners: having more than one tRNA (with a specific anti-codon) for a particular amino acid; and 'wobble' base-pairing, i.e. permitting non-standard base-pairing at the 3rd anti-codon position.
Source: Rfam by way of RNAcentral